AGUUGUGUGGGCGAUAAGAAUGGCUGGUAGGAAUCAAAAUGAGCGUGAAUGGGUGGUAACAAGAGGAGGAAGAGUGGGAGCCGAAUGGGAUGUGAGAAAAUGGAAGAAUGAGAUAAACAAAGAAGUGAAAUGUGUGGGACUGAAUGAAUGGAAUAAUGAGAUGGAAAGAAAGAAGACCCUGGAAUGGUACAAGGAGAAAGAGGCCCCGAGGUAUGAAAGGUGGUAUGAUGGAAGCCUGGGCGGUGAUCUUCUCUUCCGAGCGAGGGCACAGUGUAUGGAUGUGAAUGCAAGGAGUUACAGGUGGUCUGAGUCCCGCAGCAAAGUGUGCCAGAUGUGUGACAUGGGAGAGGAUGAGACGGUGGAACAUGUGGUGCUGGAGUGUGUGAAGUAUGCCAGAGACAGGAAUGAGAUGAUGCAAGUGAUACUGACUGAGUUAGGGCAUGAUAGGAAUGAAAGAGUGGAGAAGACAGGAAAGGAAUGGAUGGUGUUGUUGCUGGGACUGUGUAGAGAGGCGAAUGAAAGGAUGAUUGAGGCGGUGAAAGAGUUUUUGGAGAGAAUGUGGCGUGCCAGGUGUAUGAACAAUUAGGAUAGAGGAUGCUGUUCGUUUCUCCUUUUUUUUCCCCUUUCUACAGGAGUUGCCGAUCCAAAGGCCUGGCUCAGGAGUGAUCCUGUGCCACCUGUACCAUCAAGAUCAAGAUCAAGAUCAUUUUGCCGCUAAAUUUCCUGCCACCAGCUGAUCGCAAUUCGCAAGACGCAAGCCUUCAGGAGAACCCAGACCAAUCUCCUCGAGUCCCAAAUUUACAAUUCAUUUUAGGACACUGAGGUUUCGUGGGAUGCUGGGUGGCGCUCAGAGGACACUUAAAUAAGUGAAUUAUUAUUGUAUAGCCUUGAAAUUCUAGAUACAAAUGUAGAGAGAGAGAAGAUAUAAAAGCAAGAAGACCACCAUCACCACCACCAGCAAAAUGGAAGAAGAGGUGGAGCCAAGUGUGGUGGGGGGCAGUGGAGGUCUCCCACCUCCCCCAUCUCAUCCCCCACCAUCACCACAAUUAGAAAGAAUUUGGCAAACUUCCUGGAAUUAAAGAGAGUGCAUCAGGAGAAGCUGGAGAAGAUGGAGAUGAGCUGGCUAAGCUUCAGAAAUACAACAAGGAUUACAAGCAGCUUCUGUAGAGACUGAAGACUUUGUUGGAUAAGAUGAGGGCCAGGGAAUUGAGAAGCUUGGUCAACUCCUAACUUUAUCAAGGCUGAUGACAGAAAUUUACUAAAGGUGGACGUUUUCAUGAUUGUUCAGUAUUAUCAAGUACUCUGUCACCCAGCAGUGAAGCAUGUGAAGUUACAAAGGAAUUAUGAGUGGCUAGCAAAAUAUUUUGUUCAUGGUGACUGUAAACUAAGAGCACAACUCCUUCACCCCUGAGAUACAGCAGUGUCUGGUCCCACUACUGGAAGGAAUGACAGGCUGCAUCCACACAUUUUUCUGGGAGUAUUAAUAGAUGGUUGUGAUGGUGAGUAUGGUUUUAGUAGUGAUGCAGAGAGAGAGAGAGAAUUGUAAUUGUUUGUGCUGGGCUAAAUUAAGCAGUCUCACUUUAGCUUUCAAUAAUGCCCUCUUUACUCACAACUACACUAAUACAUUGUAGUCCAUGCAGUAAUAUUAGCUAUUGUAACCUUGGUACACAAGCAGGAAAGAGAAAGAGGCUCCAUAGGAGUACUAGUUUUAUUCUCAACUUUGUCUCAUAUCUUAUCUUCACAAGUUCCUCCCUCCAGCAUCACAUGGCUUCCCCACUUCAUAAAAGGGAGAAGUCUCAUUCAGUCAGCUGCUAUAGCUUUCUCAUAUUUACUUUAUAAACUUUAUAAAAUGUCACUUUAUCUCUUUUUACACUUAUUUUAUAAAAUGUAUCUUGUUUUAUACUUAUUCUAUAAAAUGUUAACUUGU
Long non-coding RNA from Scylla paramamosain (green mud crab), 1927 nucleotides. RefSeq lists it as uncharacterized. The transcript is spliced from 5 exons. Lineage: Eukaryota; Metazoa; Arthropoda; Malacostraca; Decapoda; Portunidae. The record is from RefSeq and is a predicted model, not a curated record.